Molecule: long non-coding RNA, 533 nt
Organism: Tachysurus fulvidraco (yellow catfish)
Lineage: Eukaryota; Metazoa; Chordata; Actinopteri; Siluriformes; Bagridae
Exons: 2
Source: RefSeq, a predicted model, not a curated record
AACAGGACAAAAAUACAGACAGACUUCUUACAGACUGUGAGGCAUGAAAUGCUGCAUGAUACAGUAUUGAUUUCAACAUUUUAGCACUGUGUUAGGUGGAUGUGGUAGCUCAGUGGAUAAGGUGUUUUCCCAUUGACCCGAAGAUUGUAAGGAUCCCAGGGCCACCAAGCUGUCACCCCUGGGCCCCUGAGCAAGGUCCAUAACCCCCAUUUUCUCAGCUAUGUAGGAUAAAUCUCAGGAUCAGGCAGGUCCAAAGAGCAGAAACAACAAAUCCCCCACACAUCAGUGAGCCUUGGGUGCAAAUGACCCUGUUGCCAUUUUACCAGUUGUUCUUCCUCAGACCACUUUUACUUAUGGAUUUUUGAAGAUUUGGCUGUUCUCAAGGACUCAGGGGUAGACCUGCCAGCAGAGAGUUGCAGUAGUCCACUCUCAAAAUGACAAGAGACUAAACAUGCACCUGAUCAGCCUGUGUGGAUAAAAAUGGGCAAAUCUGUUUGAAUAUAAAAUAUGUUAUUCACUUAUAAAGCACUAAA